AUGAUGUAUUCUGCAUAUAAGUUAAAUAAGCAGGGUGUCAAUAUACAGCCUUGUAUGGAAAUAAAAAUUUAUUUUCUCUCUGAAAACUCAUACAUUAAAAUUCUUUGAAUUUGGAGCUAUUUUGUUGAAUUGUCAUAUAGUUUGGAAAUGUAACCCACUCCAGUAUUCUUGCCUGGAGAAUCCCAUGGAUGGAGAAGCCNNNNNNNNNNNNNNNNNNNNNNNNNNNNNNNNNNNNNNNNNNNNNNNNNACUUCACUUCACUUAUACCUUUAGAAGAUUAAUUUUUAGAAGUAAAGAGUAAUGAUUGCAGAUGAUUGUUGAAAUAUGGCAUCACAUUCUAUUCUGGAUAACAAUGUAAAAAUUAGUAUCUUGAUCUUGCUGAAUUUUCUUAAAUCUUUUCUUCACAUCAAUAUACCUCUCUGAGAAGUAUUUCCCAAAGGUGGUUUAAAAUCAAACAGAAGUGAUUCAGAUAUUAUAUUAGUUGCUAGGACUUUUAUAACCAAACCCUGUUGGUUAAACUACAGAAACUUAAGCUCUGGAGUCUAGAAGUCCAAUAUUAAUGCUCUGGCUAAUUACAUUUUCAUGAGAAUACUUCUUGAUUUGUAGCCACCUUCUUGCUAUGUCUUCAUAUGUCCUUUUCUUGGUUCAUGUGCAGAGUGAGUGAGAGUAUGCAAAACUUUGAUAUCUCUACUUCUAAGGAUAUUAUUCCUGUCAUAUCAGGCCUCUCCCCCUUUUCAUCUCUUUUACACUUAUUUCCUUAGAGGCACCACCUCCAUAUAUAACCACAUCAGACAUUAGGGCUUCAAUAUACAGAAUUAAGCAUUUUAGAGGGACAAAGUCAGGAAGUAACAAUAUGUAUUACCUUGUCAUGUCAAGCUGUCAACCAAAUUUACAAUGGAUAAUAGUGACAUAUUUAACAUUUAAAUACUGACAUAUGUGGUACUAGGUGGCUUAAACCCUAUACAUCAUUUCUCAAUAUCUAAAUUUGAGACUAGUAAAAAUAAGCGUAUACAU
RNAcentral lists this long non-coding RNA (1013 nucleotides) under Capra hircus (goat). RNAcentral describes it as "lncRNA (ENSCHIG00010006724.1)". The record is from RNAcentral. Lineage: Eukaryota; Metazoa; Chordata; Mammalia; Artiodactyla; Bovidae.